ACCUCGAAUCAGGUAGGAAUACCCGCUGAACUUAAGCAUAUCAAUAAGCGGAGGAAAAGAAACCAACAGGGAUUGCCCCAGUAACGGCGAGUGAAGCGGCAACAGCUCAAAUUUGAAAUCUGGCCCCCAGGGUCCGAGUUGUAAUUUGCAGAGGAUGCUUUUGGCAAGGUGCCUUCCGAGUUCCCUGGAACGGGACGCCAUAGAGGGUGAGAGCCCCGUCUGGUUGGAUACCGAGCCUCUGUAAAGCUCCUUCGACGAGUCGAGUAGUUUGGGAAUGCUGCUCUAAAUGGGAGGUAUAUGUCUUCUAAAGCUAAAUAUUGGCCAGAGACCGAUAGCGCACAAGUAGAGUGAUCGAAAGAUGAAAAGCACUUUGAAAAGAGGGUUAAAUAGUACGUGAAAUUGUUGAAAGGGAAGCGCUCAUGACCAGACUUGGGCCCGGUGAAUCAUCCAGCGCUCGUCGCUGGUGCACUUUGCCGGGCUCAGGCCAGCAUCAGUUCGCUCCGGGGGACAAAGGCUCUGGGAAUGUGGCUCCUCCGGGAGUGUUAUAGCCCACUGCGCAAUACCCNGGGGCGGA
This 574-nucleotide ribosomal RNA is filed under the name Metarhizium sp. C_1_BESC_80c. RNAcentral describes it as "eukaryotic LSU rRNA". It matches the Rfam family "Eukaryotic large subunit ribosomal RNA", at positions 1 to 585 of the family's 3401-position model. The record is from RNAcentral. Lineage: Eukaryota; Fungi; Ascomycota; Sordariomycetes; Hypocreales; Clavicipitaceae.